GGUGAGUAACGCGUAUGCGACCUGCCCGUCACAGGGGGAUAAUCCGGAGAAAUCCGGUCUAAUACCGCAUAAUAUCGUGAAUCUGCAUGGAUUUGCGAUUAAAGGAGCGAUCCGGUGACGGAUGGGCAUGCGUGACAUUAGCUAGUCGGCGGGGUAACGGCCCACCGAGGCGACGAUGUCUAGGGGUUCUGAGAGGAAGGUCCCCCACACUGGUACUGAGACACGGACCAGACUCCUACGGGAGGCAGCAGUGAGGAAUAUUGGUCAAUGGGCUUACGCCUGAACCAGCCAAGUCGCGUGAGGGAAGACUGCCCUAUGGGUUGUAAACCUCUUUUGUCAGGGAGCAACGCCGGCUACGUGUAGCCGGACUGAGAGUACCUGAAGAAAAAGCAUCGGCUAACUCCGUGCCAGCAGCCGCGGUAAUACGGAGGAUGCGAGCGUUAUCCGGAUUUAUUGGGUUUAAAGGGUGCGUAGGCGGAAUGCCAAGUCAGCGGUAAAAUCGCGGGGCUCAACCUCGCUCCGCCGUUGAAACUGGCGUUCUUGAGUGGGCGAGAAGUAUGCGGAAUGCGUGGUGUAGCGGUGAAAUGCAUAGAUAUCACGCAAAACUCCGAUUGCGAAGGCAGCAUACCGGCGCCCAACUGACGCUGA
Molecule: ribosomal RNA, 648 nt
Filed under: uncultured bacterium
Lineage: Bacteria
Description: bacterial SSU rRNA
Rfam family: Bacterial small subunit ribosomal RNA
Source: RNAcentral